ACUGUAGCGGCAGAGGAGGACAUUAUCGAGUUUUGAACGGGUUGUAGCUGGCCUCUCACGAGGCAUGUGCACGCCUGGCUCAUCCACUCUUAACCUCUGUGCACUUUAUGUAAGAGAAAAAAAUGGUGGAAGCUUCCAGGAUCUCGCGAGAGGUCUUCGGUUGAACAAGCCGUUUUUCUUUCUUAUGUUUUACUACAAACGCUUCAGUUAUAGAAUGUCAACUGUGUAUAACACAUUUAUAUACAACUUUCAGCAACGGAUCUCUUGGCUCUCGCAUCGAUGAAGAACGCAGCGAAAUGCGAUAAGUAAUGUGAAUUGCAGAAUUCAGUGAAUCAUCGAAUCUUUGAACGCACCUUGCACUCCUUGGUAUUCCGAGGAGUAUGCCUGUUUGAGUCUCAUGGUAUUCUCAACCCCUAAAUUUUUGUAAUGAAGGUUUAGUGGGCUUGGACUUGGAGGUUGUGUCGGCCCUUGUCGGUCGACUCCUCUGAAAUGCAUUAGCGUGAAUCUUACGGAUCGCCUUCAGUGUGAUAAUUAUCUGCGCUGUGGUGUUGAAGUAUUUAUGGUGUGCAUGCGUCUAACGAUCUCCUUGCCGAGACACUCAUUUGACAAUCUGAGCUCACAUCCGGUAGGACUACCCCGCUGAACUUAAGCAUAUCAUUAACUCCCCAAGAA
This 672-nucleotide ribosomal RNA is filed under the name Irpex lacteus. Its description in RNAcentral is "eukaryotic LSU rRNA". The stretch from base 245 to 398 matches the Rfam family "5.8S ribosomal RNA". The record is from RNAcentral. Lineage: Eukaryota; Fungi; Basidiomycota; Agaricomycetes; Polyporales; Irpicaceae.